GAUGAACGCUGGCGGCGUGCCUAACACAUACAAGUCGAGCGAUUUACUUCGGUAAAGAGCGGCGGACGGGUGAGUAACGCGUGGGUAACCUGCCCUGUACACACGGAUAACAUACCGAAAGGUAUGCUAAUACGAGAUAAUAUACUUUUAUCGCAUGGUAGAAGUAUCAAAGCAUUUGCGGUACAGGAUGGACCCGCGUCUGAUUAGCUAGUUGGUAAGGUAACGGCUUACCAAGGCGACGAUCAGUAGCCGACCUGAGAGGGUGAUCGGCCACAUUGGAACUGAGACACGGUCCAAACUCCUACGGGAGGCAGCAGUGGGGAAUAUUGCACAAUGGGCGAAAGCCUGAUGCAGCAACGCCGCGUGAGCGAUGAAGGCCUUCGGGUCGUAAAGCUCUGUCCUCAAGGAAGAUAAUGACGGUACUUGAGGAGGAAGCCCCGGCUAACUACGUGCCAGCCGCCGCAGUAA
RNAcentral lists this ribosomal RNA (468 nucleotides) under uncultured bacterium. Its description in RNAcentral is "partial 16S ribosomal RNA". It matches the Rfam family "Bacterial small subunit ribosomal RNA", at positions 28 to 523 of the family's 1533-position model. The record is from RNAcentral.